ACAGCCUUGCAGGUGGUCAAAUACGUGUGUGAAAGACGUUUCAUCAUUCACAAGGCUGCAC
RNAcentral lists this microRNA precursor (61 nucleotides) under Euprymna scolopes. RNAcentral describes it as "Esc-Mir-12535-v1_pre stem-loop". Lineage: Eukaryota; Metazoa; Mollusca; Cephalopoda; Sepiida; Sepiolidae. The record is from RNAcentral.